This is a non-coding RNA of Epinephelus lanceolatus (giant grouper), 273 nucleotides long. The record is from RefSeq and is a predicted model, not a curated record. Lineage: Eukaryota; Metazoa; Chordata; Actinopteri; Perciformes; Serranidae.
AUGAUGCCAUGUGUGGCUAUAAUACACCCUGGUUCUGUGGCUCGAACGCUGCCAAGAAACGGGUGAUGUGUUGGUAAACAAUACCCAGCUUUGGUGGCUGUAACACCGCUGGAAAACACCACAAUAUGUCAGUGAAAAACGCCCAGGUUCAGCACAAACGCAGAUAUGUGUUGGUUAAAAAAAAAACGCCCAGGUUCAGCACAAACGCAGCUAUGUGUUGGUUAGAAAACGCCCAGGUUCAGCACAAACGCAGUUAUGUGUUGGUUAAAAAAA